Molecule: non-coding RNA, 421 nt
Filed under: Pimelea ferruginea
Lineage: Eukaryota; Viridiplantae; Streptophyta; Magnoliopsida; Malvales; Thymelaeaceae
Description: partial transfer RNA-Leu(UAA)
Rfam family: Group I catalytic intron (bases 10-318)
About the family: Group I catalytic introns are large self-splicing ribozymes. They catalyse their own excision from mRNA, tRNA and rRNA precursors in a wide range of organisms.
Source: RNAcentral
CGGUAGACGCUACGGACUUAAUUGAAUUGAGCCUUGGUAUGGAAACCUACUAAGUGAGAACUUUCAAAUUCAGAGAAACCCUGGAAUUAAAAAUGGGCAAUCCUGAGCCAAAUCCUGUUUUACAAAAAUAAACAAAGGUUCAGAAAGAAUUUAAAUAAAAAAAGGGAUAGGUGCAGAGACUCAAUGGAAGCUGUUCUAACAAAUGGGGUUUGACUACCUUUGCCUUAGUAAAGAAAUCCUUAGUUUGAUAAAUCUUUUGAACAACUAGUUAAUUGGACGAGAAUAAAGAUAGAGUCCCGUUCUACAUGUCAAUACUGACAUACAAUGAAAUUUAUAGUAAAAGGAAAAUCCGUCGACUUUUAAAAUCGUGAGGGUUCAAGUCCCUCUAUCCCCAACGGUGGUUCAAGUCCCUCUAUCCCCA